RNAcentral lists this ribosomal RNA (274 nucleotides) under uncultured bacterium. Its description in RNAcentral is "partial 16S ribosomal RNA". It matches the Rfam family "Bacterial small subunit ribosomal RNA", at positions 523 to 796 of the family's 1533-position model. The record is from RNAcentral.
AUACAGAGGGUGCAAGCGUUAAUCGGAAUUACUGGGCGUAAAGCUCGCGUAGGCGGCUAGGUAAGUCGGGUGUGAAAUCCCGGGGCUCAACCCCGGAACUGCACUCGAAACUGCCUGGCUAGAGUCUCGGAGAGGAAGGCGGAAUUCCCGGUGUAGAGGUGAAAUUCGUAGAUAUCGGGAGGAACACCAGUGGCGAAGGCGGCCUUCUGGACGAUGACUGACGCUGAGGUGCGAAAGCGUGGGGAACAAACAGGAUUAGAAACCCCAGUAGUCC